AUGGCAACGGGGAGCACAGCGUUGGCUCUCAUCGUCCUCGCCGCCUUGGUCUUGUCCAUGCUGCCUACCUCGCUCGCCGUCACCUCGCCCUACGUGCGGCCCAGGCCGAGGGCGAUGCUCUCCAUGCCCAAGGACGCCGGUGGUCAGACGCCGAUGCAGGUCCAUAUAUCGACUGUUGGCCAUGACGAGAUGAGGGUGACAUGGAUCACUGAAGACGAUGCACCGACAGUCGUGGAGUACGGCACGACCUCAGGCCAGUACCCAUUCUCAGCGACCGGAACCACCACGAGCUACUCGUACCUAGCCCUCUACCACUCGGGGAAAAUCCACGACGCCGUAGUCGGCCCACUGAAACCCAGCACAACGUACUACUACCGGUGCAGCUCCGACCCGUCGCGCGAGUUCUCCUUCCGGACGCCGCCGGCCAGCCUCCCCUUCACCUUCGUCAUCGUCGGUGACCUCGGACAGACCGGCUGGACCAAGAGCAAGCUGCAGCACAUCGCGGCCGCCGACUACGACAUGCUCCUCCUCCCCGGCGACCUGUCGUACGCCGACUUCCUCCAGCCGCGCUGGGACUCGUACGGCCGGCUCGUGGAGCCGCUGGCGAGCGCGCGGCCGUGGAUGGUGACCGAGGGCAACCACGAGAUCGAGAGGAUCCCGCUCCUCGAGCCGCGUACCUUCAAGGCCUACAACGCGCGGUGGCGCAUGCCGUACGACGCCGGCGACUCCCCGUCGGGGUCGAACCUCUACUACUCCUUCGACGUCGCGGGCGGCAUCGUGCCUGUCAUCAUGCUGGGCUCGUACACGGGCUUCGAGGCCGGCACGGCGCAGCACGAGUGA
Molecule: ribosomal RNA, 840 nt
Filed under: Triticum aestivum (bread wheat)
Lineage: Eukaryota; Viridiplantae; Streptophyta; Magnoliopsida; Poales; Poaceae
Description: partial small subunit ribosomal RNA
Source: RNAcentral